UACGUAGGGUGCAGGCGUUAAUCGGAAUUACUGGGCGUAAAGCGUGCGCAGGCGGUUUGCUAAGACAGGUGUGAAAUCCCCGGGCUUAACCUGGGAACUGCGCUUGUAACUGGCAAGCUAGAGUGUGGCAGAGGGGGGUGGAAUUCCACGUGUAGCAGUGAAAUGCGUAGAGAUGUGGAGGAACACCGAUGGCGACGGCAGCCCCCUGGGCUAACACUGACGCUCAUGCACGAAAGCGUGGGGAGCAAACAGG
This 253-nucleotide ribosomal RNA is filed under the name uncultured bacterium. RNAcentral describes it as "partial 16S ribosomal RNA". It matches the Rfam family "Bacterial small subunit ribosomal RNA", at positions 524 to 776 of the family's 1533-position model. The record is from RNAcentral.